AGAGUUUGAUCCUGGCUCAGGACGAACGCUGGCGGCGUGCUUAACACAUGCAAGUCGAACGAUGAAGCGGUGCUUGCACCGUGGAUUAGUGGCGAACGGGUGAGUAAUACGUGAGUGACCUACCUUUGACUCUGGGAUAAGCCUGGGAAACUGGGUCUAAUACCGGAUACGACCAAUCUCUGCAUGGGGUGUUGGUGGAAAGCGUUAUGGAGUGGUUUUAGAUGGGCUCACGGCCUAUCAGCUUGUUGGUGAGGUAAUGGCUUACCAAGGCGACGACGGGUAGCCGGCCUGAGAGGGUGACCGGCCACACUGGGACUGAGACACGGCCCAGACUCCUACGGGAGGCAGCAGAAGGCGA
RNAcentral lists this ribosomal RNA (358 nucleotides) under uncultured Micrococcaceae bacterium. Its description in RNAcentral is "bacterial SSU rRNA". It matches the Rfam family "Bacterial small subunit ribosomal RNA", at positions 8 to 361 of the family's 1533-position model. Lineage: Bacteria; Bacillati; Actinomycetota; Actinomycetes; Micrococcales; Micrococcaceae. The record is from RNAcentral.